AUGGCGACGGGGGCGGGGCGGGGACACACACCUGCAGCCCCUACGGGGGGCACCGGGACCCCCACGGAGACAGCGCCACCCCCACCGGGACACCGGCACCCCACGGAGACACUGGCAGGCUCUCGUGGAUACGGGCAGCGGGACCUUGCAGGAAUCACAGGGACCCCCGGGGGACAUCUGCACCCUCACGGGGACACCGGGGCCCCACGGUGGCACAGGCACACGGGCAUCCCCACAGGGGACAGCUCCGCGCCCCCCAGCCCAAGUUCGGAGUUCCCCGUUCCCUCCCCGCUCCCGGGGUUCAAACCUCCGCAGAGCUGCUCGGUGGCGGCUGCCGGGGCGGGGGUCGCCAGGUCCGGGACCACCCGAGGGACCGGCAGAGGGUCGAGCGCUGGGUGCGCGGGGCAGCGCGGGGCUGCGACCGCGGUUCUGCCGCAGGGGAAACCCGUGGAGGUCCCGCCACUGUGCGAGGCAGCCGAUCCUUGCCCCGAAGGGUUUCUGGUCCGGGCUGUAAUUAGCGUUCCUGCUAAUUACCCCGCACCUGCGGGGAGGGCAGGCAGCGCCCGGGGAGGGCCCCCGAGCGAGACCCCGGCACACCCCGAGCAGCACUGCUGAGCCAGGGUUGCAGAUGUGCCGGGGCCGCCGGCACAGCUGGAGCGGGGCCGAGGCCUGAGAAAGCCCCUGCGCAUUCCCCUCCCGCCUUCUCCCUUCCCGUUCCCAGCUUCCAUCCGCUGCAGCCCAGACCAGCUGGAGCCAGGCAGCCCUUCCUGGGAUUUAUUCCAGCUUCCUGCCCCUCCUCGCCGGCCGACCGGGACUGGGGCUGCCUUGGGCUGCUUCCUCUCCCUGCUCGCAGCCGCCGGCCGGGCGCCACUGUCAGUAGCCAUCAUCACACGGGACCCCAGCUCCCACCACCAGCACCCACCACUCCAUGGGACCCCAGAGCUCACCUCCAGAACCCACCACUCCAUGGGACCCCAGAGCUCACCUCCAGCACCCACCAUCACAGCAAAGCACCUCCCACCCUACGUGGUAGAGCAUGAGGUACAACUGCAGCACCCAUCACCCAUCAUCACCCAGAUGAAAACCUGCUGAGGUGGGGAGGCUCCUCAGGGCUCUAAAGACGAGCAGCCCUGAUGUGUCCACCCUCACACCAGGCACCAGCAGUCCCAAAACAUGAAACCACCCUCCCCUUGCUUGGUAUUUGCACCCUGUGCACCUCCAGCUCAGCCCAUCCCAUCCCACUGCAAUUGCUGGUGGGAGCUUGGCACAAGGGGUGUGUGCCCAUGAGCUCCCCUGGCCAAGGGGCAUCUUCACCACUGCCAUGAGGUGCCGUGGGUGAGUGAGGAUCAUCCCAAAGCAGAUGAACAGGCAGCUCUGGCCCCUGCCCGAGCUGGGUGCAGUUGAAUGGACGGAGGUUUCCUGCUGGAGUCGGCACAUCCCCGUUUCCGCAGCCCCCACCAGGCCGGAGGGACCCUGCCGAGAGGGGACCUGGCCCAGCAGCGGCGCAGACACAGCGGAGCCAAGCGGCCUCAGCCCUGCCGGACCGGAGGUGCCACAGGCCCAGGUGCAGCGGGUGAGGGAGCCCAGGAGCGCCGAGUGCCGGCUCCAGCGGCGG
This 1615-nucleotide long non-coding RNA is filed under the name Junco hyemalis (dark-eyed junco). RNAcentral describes it as "lncRNA (ENSJHYG00000013918.1)". The record is from RNAcentral. Lineage: Eukaryota; Metazoa; Chordata; Aves; Passeriformes; Passerellidae.